UCAAAGUGCUGGGAUUACAAGCAUGAGCCACCGCGCCCAGCCUAUAGCCUUUUAUAAUUGUUUUUCCAACCCCCAAAUCAGCAUCCAUGACUACAUAAACUUUUUGGCCGUUUGACCAAAUGGGGACAUCUGGCAUACUGCUAUCAACCAAUAUGUGUUGUAUAAGAGGAGAACUUAGCUCUGAAUGGACUAGUAUACCUGAUCACCAGCAGCAGUUAAAAGAAGUGACUUUCACUCUCCGGCAUGAUUCUGAGGCCUCCCC
This 262-nucleotide long non-coding RNA is filed under the name Homo sapiens (human). RNAcentral describes it as "HSALNT0377020". Lineage: Eukaryota; Metazoa; Chordata; Mammalia; Primates; Hominidae. The record is from RNAcentral.